Molecule: small RNA, 28 nt
Filed under: Bombyx mori (domestic silkworm)
Lineage: Eukaryota; Metazoa; Arthropoda; Insecta; Lepidoptera; Bombycidae
Description: ovarian small RNA-26767
Source: RNAcentral
UCCAGAUAGUUCGGAUGAACUCAUGUGG